RNAcentral lists this long non-coding RNA (1377 nucleotides) under Pan troglodytes (chimpanzee). RNAcentral's name for it is "lncRNA (ENSPTRG00000054035.1)". The record is from RNAcentral. Lineage: Eukaryota; Metazoa; Chordata; Mammalia; Primates; Hominidae.
GCUGCUUUUAUCAAGAUAUGGAGUCUAUUUCCUGCUCCUUGAGGCAGAAAUGGAAUGGGACUUUGAAACUGUCUUGGUGAACAGAAUGUAGGGGGAGUGACGUAUGUGGCUCCAAAGCUAGAUUCCAGAAGAUUGCACGGCUUCCACCUGGUGCUCACUUGUCCUCCCUCUCUCUCUCAGGGUGUCCAUCUUUGGAACUUGGCCACUAUGCUCUAAGAAAACUCAAAGCAAUUUAUGUUGAAGACCACAUGGAGAUGUCCAUGUGGAGAUGUUCUGAGGCUCCUAGAUGACAGCCAGCAUCAACUGCCAGUUGCAUCCGUGAACAAGGGAGUCUUCAGAGGAUUUUAGGACCCAGCCUUCAAGUUUUCUAGUUGAGGUCCUAGACAUCAUGGAGCAGACACAAGAUGACUUUCGGUUCCUGAUCCACACAUAGUAAACGAUGGCUUUCCACUACUGAGAUUUAGCAAAGUGGUACUCUGAGGACUGGCAGGUUCACUGCCUAGAGACACAUUUAUUACCAAGACACAAGCUGAAUAAUUGUGUAUUUACCAACUUCAAUUUAACCUCACAACUUGGCUGUCUUCACAACAAGGAAAAUGCAUGUCAGUGUGCAAAGGAAGAAGGAAUUCAUUUCUUUUUAGAGAAGAGAUGGCUAACUACAUGCCUAGGUUGGGUUCUCAGGAAGCAGAUGAUGAGAUGGAGCUUGUGGUGCAAGAUAUUUACUCGGGUAAAAGGAAAAGAGAGGAAGAAAGAAGGAGCAAAGGAAACCAUGCCUUGGCCAACUUGGUGAGGAACUGUGGUUCAAGCAUCCCAUCUGAAUGAGUGUCCUGCAAUGGGCUGAAAUGGGUGAAUCUUUGUACCCCUACCUUGGUCAGUCGGGCUGCCCUGGGAAGGAUGUGACUUCCCUGCAAAGAUGCUUGAAAGCUCCAGGAAGAAACUGAGCAAGAGGCAGCAAGUUCUUUCUUGAAAGGGGCAUCUGAGCAGCGUAUCUCUGUAUCUAUCAUCCAAAUAACUUCAUGGUUUCUGUAAUGGACAGUACAAAAUGGACUAUUAAACAGUUUCUUUUGGUGCCAUUUUUUUAUUAUAAUAUCCAAUAGGAUGAGGAAAAUGUAAGAGUGAACUUGGAUAAAAAACUCAACCCUGGAUUCCUUGCAAUAAGGAAAUUGUACUGUAAAUAUAGCCAUACCUCAUUUUCUUCUAAAAGAAUCGGGCAAUUUUACUCUGAUUUUGUGUCCAAAGACUAAUGACUAUUCCAAUAUCCCUCUUGAUGCUUAUUUCUUUCCAUUGCAAAAAUCAAGCAUACCAAAUUUAUCUUUCCAUAUGUUUUUUUUUUUUACUUACUUAUAUUUUUAAAUCAUCCACAUUUUUUGAAUACUC